This 223-nucleotide ribosomal RNA is filed under the name Eutreptiella gymnastica. RNAcentral's name for it is "partial Archaeal small subunit ribosomal RNA". Lineage: Eukaryota; Euglenozoa; Euglenophyceae; Eutreptiales; Eutreptiaceae. The record is from RNAcentral.
CCGUACCGGCGGUGGGGAAGUCUAUGGCUGCCGUGACCUCGUGCCUUGGGGUAGUGGUCUUCAACUGGGGUUUUAUUACCACCGUCCCAAGCUGGAUCAAUGAGAAGGCCCCCGCCGUGAGCUGCCAGCAGUGCCUGUGGGGGAGCACCACGUUGUCGAUGCUGCUGUUCUUUGUGCUGGGUGUGCUGGGGGCUAUGGCAUACGGGGACGCCGGUCCUAACCC